RNAcentral lists this long non-coding RNA (1511 nucleotides) under Trifolium pratense (red clover). RNAcentral describes it as "long non-coding RNA (TPRA_LNC003048)". The record is from RNAcentral. Lineage: Eukaryota; Viridiplantae; Streptophyta; Magnoliopsida; Fabales; Fabaceae.
CCAUCAAGUAACUAGUUCUUGAGCUUGGAAUUUUCUCCAUUUCUCUUUAGAGUGUGUUUGUGAUUGUUUCAAGUUCUUGAUUAAAAAGUAGUAUAAUUUUGUAUUUUGUGCAUUGAAUCAGUAGUUGAUUAUCUAAGGGAGAUGUAUUAAAUUGAGAUUUCAAAGGAUUUUAAAAGACUUUUUUAAGAUACAAAAGUUUUGUGGUAUUCAAUCAAGACUUUUACAAAAGUCAAAUAAAUCUUGUGGUAUUCAAUCAAGACAAUUAAGAUUUUUUUUUCAGGGCAACAAAAUUCGCUGGUAUUCAAUUGAGAUUUCUUACAACUUUUAAAAUGUCUAUUGGUAUUCAAAAGUCUACGGAUUUUGAUAGAUUCUUCUUUGGAAUGGAUUUUGACCGACUUUUUUUGUUAAAAAUACACACAAAACAUUUAUCCAACAAUCUCACUCCAACCCAUGAGACUUUUUAUAAUCUUCCAAGACUUUUUUUUUUCUCUCAUCAUCUUCUGCAAAACAGGAAUAUUACCAAAUUCUUUCUCUUACGAUCUAUUCACAAUCAAUUUUUCGUUUGAAUGACAGUCUAUAGGCAUACUGGUUAUUGCUGGCAAUCAAUUUCUUUUUUUCUUUUUACAAUCCAUUGAUUCAUGAUUUCACUUUUUAUAAGCUACAUGCAUACUGGUUAUUCAUAUGGUUUUUUCUUCAUCGUUCAUACAUAUAUGCCACUUUAAAAAAUCUGUAACAUAAUCUCUGUAACAUAAUUUUACAACUUUGAAAAAUUCUGUAACAUAAUUUUGUAACUUUUUGCAACAAAAAAAAAAAUGAUUAUGCAACUAUUCACUUUUUUUUUUUUUUUUUUUUUUUUUUUUUUUUUUUUAUGAUUCAUGGUUAUUUUUUCAUCAACCUGUUCAUUUUUUUUCCAACAUUUAUUCAUUUUUUUAUUAAUUUUUACAUUUUUUUGUUUAAUAUCUAUUUAUUUGAUAUUCAUGAUUGUUUGAUUUUUUUUAAGGAAUGAUUCUUUUUCAUUGAUUGAUUCAUUAUUAUUUUAGAAAAUAUUUAUAUUGAAUUUAUUGAGUCAUUUAAAUCUUAAAAGUCUAUAAGUAAUUUGAAAUCUCAAAAGUUUGUGUAUAAAGUAUCACAAAUUCAUGUGUUAAGAAUCUUGAUUGUAAAAAGACUUUCAAAAAAGUAUUCUAAAAUCCCAUAAAAUCAAUACAAUCCCCCAAAGUCAUUUAAAAUCUUCAAGACUUUUUUUGCUAAAAUUGUCUUGUGAAAUCUUAAUCCAAUACACCUCCCUAAAUUAUUUACCGGCUGGUGAUUAUCUAAAUUUUGUAGGGUGUAUCAGUAUGACAAAUUUCAUUACUCUACCGUUAAUAUGUGAUAUUUGUUUUGUAAGGUGAGGAUUGCCUCUAGUUCAAUAAAACUUAAAGGUUGUUGACAUUAGUUAUUUCCUUACCACUAUACUCCUAAAAUGUAACAUCGUUGUUUAUGGAUUGUUUUUGCAAAUUGAACUUUUUCUUAAA